RNAcentral lists this ribosomal RNA (318 nucleotides) under Triticum aestivum (bread wheat). Its description in RNAcentral is "partial small subunit ribosomal RNA". The record is from RNAcentral. Lineage: Eukaryota; Viridiplantae; Streptophyta; Magnoliopsida; Poales; Poaceae.
AUGCAGUUCUCGCUUUCCAACAAGCGGACUUCCAAGGAGGCUUGGGACGCCAUCACCGUGGCAUGCAUCGGCAGCAACCGUGCUCGCAAGUCCACCCUGCAGGCACUUCGUAAGGAGUGGGAGAGCCUGGGCUUCAAGCCAGGUGAGGAUGUUGAUGACUUUGCUCUCCGUCUCAACACUCUGCUCCAGAAGAUGGUGAAGUUUGGCGAUGCCACCUACACCGAGGAGAGAGCUGUCGAGAAGCUCUCUCGGUGCAUUCCCGAGAAGUACAAGCAGAUGGCUCGCUCGAUCGAGAUUUGCUGGACCUCUCCACGAUGA